AGAAUCAACGCUGGCGGCGUGCCUAACACAUGCAAGUCGAACGAGAAAGUGGAGCAAUCCAUGAGUAAAGUGGCGCACGGGUGAGUAACACGUGACUAACCUACCCUUGAGUGGGGGAUAACCUAGAGAAAUCUGGGCUAAUACCGCAUAAUACCUUCGGAUCAAAGGAGCAAUUCGCUUAAGGAGGGGGUCGCGGCCGAUUAGUUAGUUGGCGGGGUAAUGGCCCACCAAGACUAUGAUCGGUA
RNAcentral lists this ribosomal RNA (245 nucleotides) under uncultured bacterium. RNAcentral describes it as "partial small subunit ribosomal RNA". It matches the Rfam family "Bacterial small subunit ribosomal RNA", at positions 26 to 285 of the family's 1533-position model. The record is from RNAcentral.